GAGGGUAUAGCUCAGUGGCAGAGCACAGGCCUAGCAUGUAUGAGGUCCUGGGUUCAAUCCCCAGCAUCUCCA
RNAcentral lists this transfer RNA (72 nucleotides) under Camelus bactrianus (Bactrian camel). It matches the Rfam family "tRNA". Rfam says of the family: Transfer RNA (tRNA) molecules are approximately 80 nucleotides in length. The record is from Rfam by way of RNAcentral. Lineage: Eukaryota; Metazoa; Chordata; Mammalia; Artiodactyla; Camelidae. RNAcentral also lists the same sequence under 1 other name.